RNAcentral lists this ribosomal RNA (492 nucleotides) under uncultured bacterium. RNAcentral describes it as "partial 16S ribosomal RNA". It matches the Rfam family "Bacterial small subunit ribosomal RNA", at positions 30 to 507 of the family's 1533-position model. The record is from RNAcentral.
AUUGAACGCUGGCGGCAUGCUUUACACAUGCAAGUCGAACGGUAACAGGCCUUCGGUUGCUGACGCGUGGCGAACGGGUGGGUAAUUCAUCGGAACGUGCCCAGCGGUGGGGGAUAACGCAGCUAAAGCUGUGCUAAUACCGCAUGUGAUCUGAGGAUGAAAGCCGGGGACCAGGCAGCAAUGUUUGGCCUCGCGCCUUUGGAGCGGCCGAUUUCCGGUUAGGUAGUUGGUGGGGUGAAGGCCUACCAAGUCGACGAUCUGUAGCUGGUCUGAGAGGACGACAAGCGACACUGGAACUGGGACACGGCCAAGACUCCUACGGGACGCCGCAGUGGGGAAUUUUGGACAACGGGCGCAAGCCUGAUCCAGCAAUGCCGAGUGUGAGAAGAAGGCCUUCGGGUUGUAAACCGCUUUUGUACGGAACGAAAAGGCUCUGGCUAAUACCUGGGGCUGAUGACGGUACCGGAAGAAUAAGCACCGGCUAACUACGUG